Cricetulus griseus (Chinese hamster) is the source of this 3173-nucleotide non-coding RNA. NCBI's taxonomy places the organism in Eukaryota, Metazoa, Chordata, Mammalia, Rodentia, Cricetidae. The record is from RefSeq and is a predicted model, not a curated record.
AAGCGCACGAGCGUUUCUGGCCCGGGCAGCCGCUCUCCUGUCAAGUUGAUGCGGCGGCGUUUCCCGGGAAGAGCGGGGUGGUGGAGCCCAGCCGACGUCCGGACCGGCUUUCGGUCCACACGACAGUGGCAGUCAUCCUGCACUCGCGCGGUCUCAGGCGAAGGGAGUCAGGUCCGCACCCGUCCGUUGUUCCCGUGCGAUUGAGCAGGCAAAGCGGCCUCUGACCGACCGCGAGUGGCGUGAGUCUGCGCUGUUCCCCUGGGUUAGACAGAGACCAGAGACGACACCAAUUCUCAAAGAGAAAAAAAAAAAUCCAGUCCCAGAAUUACCGCCUCUUCCUGACAAACAACUUUCAAAAGACCUCACUUCCUUAAACGUAUCCGCAAAUCAAUUGACUACACACCCGCAUCCUACCGUCCUUUCCAACAGCGCCUUACCUGUGUUUUACGUGUUGUGUAGACUCCCUUGGUCCAGCAGGCAACAAAUCAUUGCUCCGCUGCAAAUCUGUUCCGGUUAUUCUCUGGCUGUGAUAGGUGGAUCUGCCCAGCAGGCCUCCAGGCCACUCUUUGAAGUCUUCACUGCUCUCAGAAAGCCCUCCUCCAAGACCGCUGCAGGAUUUUGAAAUAACAGAACUUUGUCUCCUGUCCUCACCUCUCACCCACUUCUCAGCCCACCCCAACUUGGCAUCACACAUUGGUCUCUAGAGCAGCUCUCACUAAGCUUGCUGGUGACUUCCCACUCCUGCAAAUAGACAUCAUUCUAUGUGAAAUCUGGCAGUGUUUGCCACUCGGCCUGUCUUUCCCUUGUAAGUGUGGAUGUCUCUCCAGGUUUUAACUCCUAUUCACUACCCCAUCCACACCUCAUUUACAGCUCAACUUCUGUCUGGCUGUUAUUUAAUGGAAUUAUCUUCUUUGGUGGAGGCAACUUGCUAGGUAGACCGGACUGGUCUCGAACUCACAACGCCUCUACCUCCCCAGUGCUAGGAUUAUAGGUGUGUCACCACUCCUGGCAGUUUGAGUUCUGACUUGAUCUUAAGUUCUCUUCUCCUUCCUUUCAUAAUCUCAUCCACAUCAGGCUUGGAUUACUACUCCUUUGGGCAUUACUUAUUAAUUUUCCUAUCGUCUCUAGAUCUCUGGGCUCCGUAAGUCCCUAGAAUAGUUUAUGGGUAAUAAGAGCACCUCAAGUCCCUGACAAAUUCCAUUUUCUCUACUGCAUGUCCUUCCUUUAGUUCUGCUUGGGCAAAAGGAAGUCAUGGCAAUGGGAGUAUGUGGCAGGGGAGGUUCUUCACUUCAUGGUGAACAGCAGCAUGGAACAGCAGCAGGAAAGGAGCAGGGAAAGAUAGAAUCCCAAAGAAGCCCUCAGUGACUUACGUCUUCUAGUUUCCACUUUCCACCUCCCCAUCCCCUGCUAACAGUCUAUCAAAAUGCCAAAGCUACUAAUGGGCUAAAGCAUUCAUUAGGUCAGAGCAUCAUGAUCUGUUUCAGAACAAGAUGUGUUUUACUAAUUUUGUGAACAUCUCUUAAUCCAGUCAAGUUGAUCACCAAUGUCAAUCGUCACACUGUCCAUGUGCAGACAUUUGUGUGGACUUAUGUUUUCUGCUUCUUUGACCAGACAACCAGAGUGCAUCUGUUGGAUUAUAUAGUGAAAGUAUAUCUAGUUUCAGAAGAAAUUACCAGUGUGUUCCAACAUGGCUGCUGCAUUUUACAUUCCCACCACCAGGGAAGGAGAGUGCCUGCUCUCUUUAUCUGUGCCAGCAUCUGUUCUCAGUAUUCUGGAUUUGAACAUUCUAACAGUGGUGUGGUUAGUAAACUUUGAAGUCAAAUUACAAAAAAAAAAGUGCAUGAAUUAUAAAGCUGAGUGACUUUCACAAGCAGGCACAGUUGUAUAACAAAGAUCCACAAAAAAAAAAAAAAAAUGCAGAGCACUUUGCACAUUAUAGAAGCCAUUUCAGUCAUGACCUCAGGAGAUGAUCAUGGAUAGCACUCUGCCGUGGAAUUUGCCUGCUUAAACUGCAUGGGUGGAAUAAUACAAGACAGAAAACACAGAAUGACUUCCAAUGUCUUUUUUGAAAAAAAUUUUAUUACGUGUACAGUAUUCUGUCUGCAUGUAUCCCUGCAGACCAGAAGAGGGCACCAGAUCUCAUUACAGAUGGUUGUGAGCCACCAUGUGGUCGCUGGGAAUUGAACUCAGGACCUCUGGAAGAGCAGUCAGUGCUUAUAACCUCUGAGCCAUCUCUCCAGCCCUCUUUCAAUGUCAUCUUUGUGACUUUCCUCCACAUUGUUAAGACUGUAGUCUACUCAUUUAGAUAUGCCUCUCCUUGUCUAACUCUCCUAGUGAACACAUAGGUUUGGGCUUGUUUAGAGCUGUUGCCCACAAUGCUGUGAACAUUCCUAUCUAUCUGAUGAGCACAGAUUUUCAUUUCUAUAGGAAAAUGCUCAGAGAUUGGAUCAUUGGGUCAAAAGCUAUCUUUAUUAUAUUGAGCUAUAUUAACUCAAUACUCUUAGUUGACUUUUGUUUUGUUGAGAUCAAGUCCUGCUGUGUGACCCAGGUGGAAAUUUACCACGCAGACCAGGGUGGCCUGAAAGGUGGAGUGAUUCUCCUGCCUCAGUCUUCCAAGUGCUGGGAUUAUAAAUGUGCCACCAUCUCCACUGGUAAACUGUGAUCAAAUACACAUCGUAGGUUACAAGUUUAGCUGGGCAGUGGUGGCGCAUGCCUUUAAUCCCAGAACUGGGAGGCAGAGGCAGGCAGAUCUGUGUUUGAGGCCAGCCUGGUUACAAAGCGAGUUCUAGGGUGGCCAGAGCUAAACAGAAAAAUCUUGACACUGUGCCCCCCAAAAGGUUACAAGUUCAGUCACAUUGAAGUAAGCAAUCAUGCCAAGCACAUUCAUGUCUCAAGCCACCACUGUAGGAACACAGUCCAAGAAUGGAAUCCUGUGGGAAUUUGGAGUGCUCAGUUUUUUCAAAACACAGACUUCUUGGAAUGUGUUUUUGUGCUCCUGCCAGGUGUGGUGGAUAGAAAUGAGGUUCAGAAUACUCAUUGCUUGCACCUGUUAUUCAAUUAAAUGCUUUAUAGGCCUCUAUGGAAAACCACAUUUUUGUCAAGUGCAGCUUGUGAUUGUACACUUUACCCAUGUGAUUCUUCAUCAGAAUAAAUUGAUGCUAUGCAUAAAAUUA